This 364-nucleotide ribosomal RNA is filed under the name uncultured phototrophic eukaryote. RNAcentral describes it as "SSU rRNA". It matches the Rfam family "Bacterial small subunit ribosomal RNA", at positions 524 to 896 of the family's 1533-position model. The record is from RNAcentral.
UACGGGGGAUGCAAGCGUUAUCCGGAAUCAUUGGGCGUAAAGCGUCUGUAGGUGGUUUAAUAAGUCUGUUGUUAAAGACUAGGGCUCAACCCUAGAGCAGCAAUGGAAACUAAUAAACUUGAGUAUGGCAGGGGUAGAGGGAAUUUCUAGUGUAGCGGUGAAAUGCGUAGAUAUUAGAAAGAACACCAGUGGCGAAAGCGCUCUACUGGGCCAUGUCUGACACUGAGAGACGAAAGCUAGGGGAGCGAAAGGGAUUAGAUACCCCUGUAGUCCUAGCUGUAAACGAUGGAUACUAGAUGUUGUGAGACCAGUAUCGUAGCUAACGCGUUAAGUAUCCCGCCUGGGGAGUACGCUCGCAAGGGUG